Molecule: ribosomal RNA, 469 nt
Filed under: uncultured bacterium
Lineage: Bacteria
Description: partial 16S ribosomal RNA
Rfam family: Bacterial small subunit ribosomal RNA
Source: RNAcentral
GACGAACGCUGGCGGCGUGCUUAACACAUGCAAGUCGAACGGAAAGGCCCUGCUUGCAGGGUGCUCGAGUGGCGAACGGGUGAGUAACACGUGGGUGAUCUGCGCCUUACUUUGGGAUAAGACUGGGAAACUGGGUCGAAUACUGGAGAGGACAAUGCUGGAGGCGGGGUGGUGGAAGGAUUAGUUUCGGUGAGGGAUGAGCUCGCGGCCUCUCAGCGCGUUGUUGGGGUAAUGGCGUACCAAGGCGUCGACGGGUAGCGGGCCUGAGAGGGUGGUCGGCCACCUUGGUACUGCGAUACGGCCCACACUCCUACGGGAGGCAGCAGUGGGGAAUAUUGCUCAAUGGGCGCCAGCCUGCUGAUGCGACGCCGCGUGGGGGAUGACGGCCUUCGGGUUGUAGACUCCUUUCAGCCAUGACGAAGCCCUUGUGGUGACGGUAGUGGUAGAAGAAGCACCGGCUAACUACGUG